GGAGCUGUGGAGCAGUUAGGAGUGCUCGUCACCCUGUCAAGGUGAAGGCCGCGGGUUCAAAUCCCGUCAGCUCCGCCA
This 78-nucleotide transfer RNA is filed under the name Euzebyaceae bacterium. Its description in RNAcentral is "tRNA-Asp". It matches the Rfam family "tRNA". Rfam says of the family: Transfer RNA (tRNA) molecules are approximately 80 nucleotides in length. Their secondary structure includes four short double-helical elements and three loops (D, anti-codon, and T loops). Further hydrogen bonds mediate the characteristic L-shaped molecular structure. tRNAs have two regions of fundamental functional importance: the anti-codon, which is responsible for specific mRNA codon recognition, and the 3' end, to which the tRNAs corresponding amino acid is attached (by aminoacyl-tRNA synthetases). tRNAs cope with the degeneracy of the genetic code in two manners: having more than one tRNA (with a specific anti-codon) for a particular amino acid; and 'wobble' base-pairing, i.e. permitting non-standard base-pairing at the 3rd anti-codon position. RNAcentral also lists the same sequence under 1 other name. Lineage: Bacteria; Bacillati; Actinomycetota; Nitriliruptoria; Euzebyales; Euzebyaceae. The record is from RNAcentral.